This is a long non-coding RNA of Folsomia candida, 2176 nucleotides long. RefSeq lists it as uncharacterized. The record is from RefSeq and is a predicted model, not a curated record. NCBI's taxonomy places the organism in Eukaryota, Metazoa, Arthropoda, Collembola, Entomobryomorpha, Isotomidae. The transcript is spliced from 3 exons.
GCAACCACGCAGCAAAAUCUUACCGAAGAAGUCUCCAUAUUCGCUAAUAGGAAUAAUGCAAUAUGAGAAAUAUAACAGCCAAGUUCUAUCACAAAAAAACGAUGCGACCACUCACACAAUAAUAACUAACUAACUAACUAUACAACAAGUGAGCUAAAUGCAGAUUAUGGCGUAACGCUAUAAAUUAGGUGAGUAUAUGCUGCACAAUUAUUCCAUCCAGUCUUCAUUCGUCCCCUUCUUCUGAUUUGCAUGAUGAUCUCUCCAUGCUCCACGGUGCGAGUGAUGAUGCAAAAGAAUUGAUUAUAAAGUUGGACUAGGAAACAAAUCCUGCAAAAUAAAGUUCCACCAUCCAGCAAAGAGCGUUUUUACCACUUGAGCGUCUUAAACGAUUUCCAUCCUGCAGUAUUAUUCGCAAUCCUACCCCACCAUGCACCACCAACCACACACCAUCCAUCCAUACCACCAGGUCUAUUCAGCUAUUCAUAAUUCUCUCAAGGAUUUUCCUACAUCUGCAAAUAAAGGGAGUUUUCUUUAAUGACAUUAACAGUUGUGCCGACCGGCCGAUGAGAUAACGCCAAUUAAUCCAAGAAAAUUCAGACAUGGUUUCAUAUUCGCAAGUAAUUGGAAACUAAGUCUGGCAGGUAGUGAGUAAGUAUUAACUACUUUAUUUUCCUAAAAAAAACUUCCCAGCAGCAGGAUUUGCAGUAACAUUGGCAGCAGGAGCAGUAGUAUCUAAAACGGAUUGGGAUGAGAACAUAAUGAAUGGCGUUGUUUGUGCUGUGUGCAAUUUAAUCAAGACUUGCACGGCGUACUUAUGCACAACAAGCUGUUGGACGACGGCGUGAUUGGGCCAAAUAAAAGGCUGAGACGUUGAAGCUAUAGUGGAUUGUUGUUAUUAUUAUGGAUAUAUACCUAUGUAUGAGCCUAUUAUGUGUUUGUACCCAUUUUACAUGUAUGCAGUAAUGCAACAAGUUUCUGUGUAGGUGCAACUUAUAUGUAUUAUGUUUUUCCACCACCACCACAUCCUACCUAAGUACUUGCUAUAGUUAGUUAAAUGCCAAUCAAUGUGUGCGACUUAAGUGCCCUUUGUUGCCUCUUUGUGCCUAUCAGACAUUGUGGUACGAGUGCAAUUCCUUUUGUGCAAAAUGUAUGUGUACGCAAGUGUACGUAUGUAUGUACAUAAGUCGUGGUGGAUGAAUUCCAUGCAUGCUUAUUAGUUGCUUAACGUAUUAUAUGCCUAGUGCCUAUGUACUUAAGCUAGAGUAGUUUUAUAGCACGGCCUACCACAAACAAAUAAUUUGCACAUGUGAGCAAAAUGCGAAGGAUGGAAUGGAUGAGAUGGAUGCAAUUCACGAAGGAUUUUCCUACGUCUGAGCUGUAGCCAUGACCGUCAACUUAUUACACACAGAUCAAACAAGGAACUUUAAUUUCAUGCUUUUUAUUAUUUUAGGCAUUUUGUUAUCACAAGUGUUUCACGAUGAGAUUUCUUUGUCAAUUUUUUCACAAAACGGACCGAAUAUUUGUAAAUAUGUUUUUCACAUCAUUAUUUUCAAAGUCAAAUAUUUCUCCUGUUUUUUUUUGUCUGGAAUAAAUGACUUUUCCGUUUCCCAACAGAUAAUAAUAGCAAAUAAUGAUAUAUCUGUUUUAGUUUGUCCUUCAGGCAUUGCAAAAACAAAAAUUCGGCGGCGAUAUAAAUAAAAUUAAAUGUCAUCUUUCUCACAGCAUAACUUUUUGAUGGUGUAAUAAUAGCAAUAAUUCACGGAAUCAGGGUGCAAAAAGUAAAACUGUAUAGAUUCAACGAGUCAUGCUGUUCAAGAGUCAUUAAUAAUAACUUUAUGGUAUAAAUCUGGCAUAUUUUUUAUAAUUCCAGUCAUGACAUAAUCUAGCGUCUCGAGAGACAAAAAAUAGAAGGGACGUUCGAUAGGGGUACAACAGAAUGCAGUAUAGCGUGAUUGGCGGUUAUGUGUGUAAGAAGACAAUGGGAAGACAGUUGAUUUGGAGGUGUGUGGAAUCGAGACGACUUGACAGUUUGAGAUAAAGUAUCGCUUUGGCCAAUGUCUAUUAAUAAAAAUUAAACAAGUACAUGUAAAAUGUGGGAGUGGAGUAUGACCAAUUUUUUUAUAAAUACCUACAAUACGUCAUUCUACUAGAGAAUAAAAAUCAAACAAAUGCAAAA